This is a long non-coding RNA of Chinchilla lanigera (long-tailed chinchilla), 1406 nucleotides long. RefSeq lists it as uncharacterized. The transcript is spliced from 3 exons. NCBI's taxonomy places the organism in Eukaryota, Metazoa, Chordata, Mammalia, Rodentia, Chinchillidae. The record is from RefSeq and is a predicted model, not a curated record.
CGGAGCUGCGCCGGGCCGGGUCAGCUGGCUGCCUUUGUGGCUGCUUCCCAGGAAGGAAGAAGCGCUGUCUGCAGAUCAGUUAUCAGCCGGCUUUCCUGCGCCGCAGCGCCGCCGUUUUCCGGGGACGGCUGCCACCCCCGUGAUUCCCAGCCGGGCUGCGCGAACACAUUUCAGACUGGAACUUAACCUGGACAUGGCCUAACCUCUGUAACAUGGAUGGAUGAGUUUUAUAAAGACAUUAAGACCUCCUGAAAUUCUAUAUGUAUAUGUGUACAUAAACACAUAUGUGUCUGUGCAAGAUUCAGCAACAGGAAGCAGGGAUUCCUUCCUGGGCAGGACUCCCAGUGCACCAACUUCAGCCACAUCCAUUGAUGGUUAAACAAAAGUAGCGCAGUUCAAUUUUCAGUCACCAUGGACAGGAACUCUUAGUACUUGCAUGAAGCAUGCGUUUUUAUGCUAGCUCUUUAGGGUACAAAUCUCUUUGUCAGUAUCUGCAUCACAAUCAGUGACUGAUCAUGUCACUUCUUUCCAAAUCUCUCAGUGCAAGAUCACUGUGCCUCUGUCAUUCAGUUCACACACAGACAGCAAAGCAUGCCUUGUCUUCUAGGGAGAGCUCAUGAUGGGGCAUUCCGCAAGAAGGAUAAUCAGUGGAGGGAAGCAGCCAUCAAAACAUGAAAGUGAAGCAAAGGAAUCAAACAUGAAAACAGAGGAAGUGAAAUUCAAGUUGAACAUAAACGGAGUCAAGAAGUUACAGCUCGGUAUAGGAAGGAUGAUUGCUGUUCUAGACUCUACCUGAGCAACCCAAAGAAACUGAAUAAAGGCGAACUUGUAUAAAUAAGGAAGAGAAGAAAGGAAGACGAUGUCUUAGAGGAAGUGAUAUCAACAAAAAAAGUGACAUUAACAGAACACUCAAAGAUACUUCAUGGUAUUGAAAGUGCAAAGGACAAAAUGCUAGAAUUGAACCAAAUUUAGAAAAGUAACUGACAAUUCAUCAAGGUGUAAAACAGAUAUUUGCCCAGUAUUAUAAGUUAUAUGACCAAAAGGCAGGACUGUGUAUAUUUAAUAUAUUUUUCCUGUAUAUUAUGAUGUUCUGACAUCUUAAAAACCUUCCUGGCUCAGAAGAGACUGUCCCUCCUGGACUAGCUGGUCCUGAUAGAAAGGACUCAAUCAGGAGCAUGCUUCUGAUAUGGAAACUACCCAGCUCAGAGCCAGGGCUCCUCUCCAUGGCCCCCCAGCCCCAGGUAGCAAUAUUCCUCUGCCUUAGUCACCCGAGGGCCAUCACCAGGCAAGCGGACCCCAUAGCAUAAAACCAGCUGAAAUUAUUCAAACUAGCCAACUGGAAGUUUUCACCCUCCCUGCCUUCCUUUCCUUCAGAAAUCACAAUAAAGGCUCUGACCUAAACCUUG